RNAcentral lists this unclassified non-coding RNA (219 nucleotides) under Hevea brasiliensis (rubber tree). Lineage: Eukaryota; Viridiplantae; Streptophyta; Magnoliopsida; Malpighiales; Euphorbiaceae. The record is from RNAcentral.
UAAACUGUUCGGCGACCUCGUCGACAUUGCGAAAUUCAAACCCGGGAAAUCGACUCCUGGUAGAGCUGGUAGCAUGUGAAAUGAUCGCCAUGCCUUUUUCCUUUGUUUAUUUUAUGCCUCCCCUUGUUUCACAUUGCAUACAUAUAGUGUUUUGCCUUUGGCCCCCUCAUUCUUGUUGUCUGUUUGAGUAUUGAAAUAGUGUAUAUUUCUUGUAGAGGG